AAAACAACCUCCAAAAGACAAAAAAGCAAAAGUGCAAAUUGAUUCUCAAGUCUCUGCCGAGUGCCGCCUCUUCCUCACUCAAGUCUCACCUUCGGACCGGACCUUCCUUCCUCCGCCUCCACCGCUGCCAGUCCUCAGUCAAGAGUCGAGACUUGAGGUUUCUCCUUGGAACUAGCGAGGUUUGUGCAAAUCCAUACACCUCUCAAUUGAAUAUUUUAAGGGAAUGGACCCUCGAUAUGCUGGAGAAAUGCUAAGGCAUUUGGAUAAGCAGAAUGAGCUCCUUACUGAUGCUCACAGGUCAAUUCUGCAUGAACUGCAUAAACUCUAGGUAGAGGAAGAAAUGCUGAUGCGCAAGUUCUAUGAGUUCAUGUCAGCUCAAGGCCUCACUAGAAGGGUAUAUUCAUUAUCUUGCCUUUGCACCUCAAUACUGUAGUUCUGCACUUUUUAUACAGCUGUAUUUUGUUAGCCUAUUUGAGUGGUUUUUGUCGUCGUCGUCUGAUUCAAGUGUUUAGUGAUUUUUGAAUUGCAUACGUAGUCACAGUGCUUAAAUUUCUCAUUAAAGAAGCAAAAAUUUUAUGUUGAUUUUUUGCAUUUUCUUGGUCUUAA
Coffea arabica (coffee) is the source of this 606-nucleotide non-coding RNA. The record is from RefSeq and is a predicted model, not a curated record. NCBI's taxonomy places the organism in Eukaryota, Viridiplantae, Streptophyta, Magnoliopsida, Gentianales, Rubiaceae.